Molecule: ribosomal RNA, 468 nt
Filed under: uncultured soil bacterium
Lineage: Bacteria
Description: bacterial SSU rRNA
Rfam family: Bacterial small subunit ribosomal RNA
Source: RNAcentral
AGAUUGAACGCUGGCGGCAUGCUUUACACAUGCAAGUCGAACGGCAGCGCGGGGCAACCUGGCGGCGAGUGGCGAACGGGUGAGUAAUAUAUCGGAACGUACCCAAGAGUGGGGGAUAACGUAGCGAAAGUUACGCUAAUACCGCAUACGAUCUAAGGAUGAAAGCAGGGGACCGCAACGCCUUGUGCUCCUGGAGCGGCCGAUAUCUGAUUAGCUAGUUGGAGGGUAAAGGCCUACCAAGGCUACGAUCAGUAGCUGGUCUGAGAGGACGACCAGCCACACUGGAACUGAGACACGGUCCAGACUCCUACGGGAGGCAGCAGUGGGGAAUUUGGACAAGUGGCGCAAGCCUGAUCCAGCAAUGCCGCGUGAGUGAAAGGAAGGCCGUUCGGUUAGUAAGUCUUCGUUUUGUACGAGGGAAGAAACGGUGGGGACUAAUAGUCCUUACACUAAUGUACGGUACUGAAG